RNAcentral lists this ribosomal RNA (305 nucleotides) under uncultured bacterium. Its description in RNAcentral is "bacterial SSU rRNA". It matches the Rfam family "Bacterial small subunit ribosomal RNA", at positions 337 to 640 of the family's 1533-position model. The record is from RNAcentral.
GCCUACGGGGCGCAGCAGUGAGGAAUAUUGGUCAAUGGUCGGGAGACUGAACCAGCCAAGCCACGUGAGGGAGGAAGGUACAGAGUAUCGUAAACCUCUUUUGUCAGGGAACAAAGGCGGGGACGUGUCCCUGGAUGAGUGUACCUGAAGAAAAAGCAUCGGCUAACUCCGUGCCAGCAGCCGCGGUAAUACGGAGGAUGCGGGCGUUAUCCGGAUUUAUUGGGUUUAAAGGGUGCGCAGGCGGUCUGUUAAGUCAGCGGUCAAAGCCCGGGGCUCAACCCCGGCCCGCCGUUGCAACUGGCAGU